GGACGAACGGCUUACGGCGGGCCGUAGGCCUAAUACAAUGGUCAAGUAGUAACGACGUGAACGGAAGGAGGCUUGGCUUCUCCGGAUGAGUUAGGCGAAACGGGGUGGAGUAACGACGUAGGUAACCUAGCCUGGUAGCGGGGGAGUAACUAUUGGAAACGAUAGACUAAUACCGCAUAAUAGUAGAUGUUGCAUGACAUUUGCUUAAAAGGUGCAAUUGCAUCACUACCAGAUGGACCUGCGUUGUAUUAGCUAGUUGGUGGGGUAACGGCUCACCAAGGCGACGAUACAUAGCCGACCUGAGAGGGUGAUCGGCCACACUGGGACUGAGACACGGCCCAGACUCCUACGGGAGGCAGCAGUAGGGAAUCUUCGGCAAUGGACGUAAGUCUGACCGAGCAACGCCGCGUGAGUGAAGAAGGUUUUCGGAUCGUAAAGCUCUGUUGUAAGAGAAGAACGAGUGUGAGAGUGGAAAGUUCACACUGUGACGGUAUCUUACCAGAAAGGGACGGCUAACUACGUG
This 523-nucleotide ribosomal RNA is filed under the name uncultured Streptococcus sp. Its description in RNAcentral is "bacterial SSU rRNA". It matches the Rfam family "Bacterial small subunit ribosomal RNA", at positions 27 to 507 of the family's 1533-position model. The record is from RNAcentral. Lineage: Bacteria; Bacillati; Bacillota; Bacilli; Lactobacillales; Streptococcaceae.